Molecule: long non-coding RNA, 1037 nt
Filed under: Gossypium barbadense (sea-island cotton)
Lineage: Eukaryota; Viridiplantae; Streptophyta; Magnoliopsida; Malvales; Malvaceae
Description: long non-coding RNA (GBAR_LNC011959)
Source: RNAcentral
UUAAAAACAAAAGCUAGUUUUAAAGUCUUUUUUUUUGUUAAAAAAACUUUAACUUUAAUUUCUUUUUUCUAAAAAACCCUAAGCUCUUUCUUCUCCCCACUGUCCUCUUUCUUCCAGCCGCAAACAAGGCCAACACCAAGCCUUCAUUCGCCUCCGUGACGACCAACAGAGGGCUGGAGAACCCCUCUUGUGAAGCGAAUCGAGAGGUACUCACCCUUUCCCCUUUUAUUUCGUAUUUUCGGAUUUGAAUGGAAAUAAAAAUCAAGGAAAAGAACGGGAAAAGAAAAUGAUAAAAUAACCACCUUAGGAAUAUUUUCUUGGCUGCUCUUUACUCUCUUUUUUGGUAUCUUUUGUAUUUCAAAAAAAAAGAAAAAAAACCCCUUUACCAUUAAAAAUCAAAGGCUUUAUAGCCAAAAUACAAGCAAUUUCUGCUGCUUCCUUGUCCAACUUACAGGCCGUGAAGUUGUGGAGAACGAGGGGCAUGGAGUAUGGGCGCAAACAUGGAGCGAGGCACACGGGGAUCGUGCGUGGAGUGCCGACGUGGGGGUUGCGGCGUGGGGCUGCUGUGCAAAAGGGGAACUUAGGGUUUCUGAAACCCUAAAAAUUUGGGCCUAUCGGGCCAUUGUAAAAUUUUGGGCUUGUAAACCGAACGAAUUUGAUGGACUAUUUAAUUUUUGUGUUUGAUUUUGCUUUCCUUAUGGGCCGGGCAAAAUUCGGGUCUUACAAUACGCGGCAAACAUAUUAUCAUAUAUGUAAUGACGUAUAAUUUACUAUUUCCACAUAUUGCUCUAAAAAAGGUGAGUUAAUUGGAUAACUAUUGUUCUGGUGAAUGCAAAAAUUUCAAAACAAAAAGUAUAGGAGUUAAGAAUAGUCAAAUUGAAGAAUAUAGAUUAAAUCAAGGCUAAUAGCAUAAUUUAACCAAAUAGUUUUAAGUGCUACCAUUAGGGUCAAGACUGAAAUUUAAAAAUACAAAAAAUACAAGUAUUAAAAUUGACCAAAUUAAAAUAUAAUGACUAAAUCCACACCUUAUAGUAAAA